RNAcentral lists this ribosomal RNA (559 nucleotides) under uncultured bacterium. RNAcentral's name for it is "bacterial SSU rRNA". It matches the Rfam family "Bacterial small subunit ribosomal RNA", at positions 337 to 916 of the family's 1533-position model. The record is from RNAcentral.
UCCUACGGGAGGCAGCAGUGGGGAAUAUUGCGCAAUGGGGGAAACCCUGACGCAGCGACGCCGCGUGAAGGAUGAAGGUUUUCGGAUCGUAAACUUCUAUCAGCAGGGAAGAUAGUGACAGUACCUGACUAAGAAGCCCCGGCUAACUACGUGCCAGCAGCCGCGGUAAUACGUAGGGGGCAAGCGUUAUCCGGAUUUACUGGGUGUAAAGGGUGCGUAGGCGGCGAAGUAAGUCAGAUGUGAAAGCCCGAGGCUCAACCUCGGGACUGCAUUUGAAACUGCUUUGCUAGAGUGCAGGAGAGGAAAGCGGAGUUCCUAGUGUAGCGGUGAAAUGCGUAGAUAUUAGGAGGAACACCAGUGGCGAAGGCGGCUUUCUGGACUGUAACUGACGCUGAGGCACGAAAGCGUGGGGAGCGAACAGGAUUAGAUACCCUGGUAGUCCACGCUGUAAACGAUGAAUGCUAGGUGUCGGGGGUCGAACCUCGGUGCCGCAGCUAACGCAUUAAGCAUUCCACCUGGGGAGUACGAUCGCAAGAUUGAAACUCAAAUGAAUUGACGG